Molecule: ribosomal RNA, 2313 nt
Filed under: Chauliopleona sp. KK-2011
Lineage: Eukaryota; Metazoa; Arthropoda; Malacostraca; Tanaidacea; Akanthophoreidae
Description: partial 18S rRNA
Rfam family: Eukaryotic small subunit ribosomal RNA
Source: RNAcentral
GGAUAACUGUGGUAAUUCUAGAGCUAAUACAUGCCACGAGUUCCCAAAGUGUUUUGUUUGCUUUCUUUUCGGAGAUUCGAAUUUAAAUAUGAGUAGGACGCAAUUAUUAGAUCCAAAAAUUGUACCGAAGAUAUUUUCUUACGAGGGUCUGGAUGAUUAAAGUUGACUUUGCUAACGCUUCGUCUCUUUACAUUUUUCCUUUCUCCGAGUUUGAUAUCUUUAACUUGGUGUAAAAUUUGGUGAAUCUGGAUAAUCCCACACAGCAGAGCGCUUAAGGCCCUUGUGCCGGCGCCUGACCUUUGAAGAGUCUGCCCUAUCAGCUUGAUUGUAGAUUAAAUGUCUACAAUGGCUAUAACGGGUAACGGGGAAUCAGGGUUCGAUUCCGGAGAGGGAGCCUGAGAAACGGCUACCACAUCUAAGGAAGGCAGCAGGCACGCAAAUUGCUCAAUCUUAGCUCGAGGAAGCAGUGACAAAAUAUCUUGAUGCGGGACUCUUCCGAGGCCUCGCAAUCAGGAUGCGUUUACUUUAAAGCAGUAAACUGAACGCAAUUGGAGGGCAAGUCUGGUGCCAGCAGCCGCGGUAAUUCCAGCUCCAAUAGCGUAUAUUUAAGUUGCUGCGGUUAAAAAGCUCGUAGUUGGACUUCUAUACUCAGGCAGACCAGCCCUCUCCUCCUCUCCUAUAUAAUCGUUCCGUUCAAGUACAGUAACGUAAUACGGGGUCAUUUUGAGAAAUUUGUGCGUGUGGUUUCUAUUCCUUCGGGUUUGAGGCUCAUCACUUUUUUUUAAUUUACCUUUCGUUAUCUCGAAAAAGCGGGUGACGUUAGUACGGAGUGGUGGGGGGCGUAAACUGCGUCUGUGACUGAGUGUAAUAUGAGACCGCCGAUAUUUACUUUUAGUUUUUCGAAAUAAUCUAUAACCGUUUCCAUGGUGCCCUUCAUUGGGUGUCCAUUUUAUACAGUACAAGAUACAUUCGUUACGAAUAAAGUUAUCGGCUCUAUCACUUUGAAAAAAUUAGAGUGCUUAAAGCAGGCCUCAUUGCAUAAUUGCCUGAAUGGUAGUGCAUGGAAUGAUGGAAGAUGAUCUCUACCUCGUUAAGUUAAAAAAGGAACUUGUUUUCUUUUUUUCUUUGCGCCAAGUGGAAUAAGGGUACAUUUGAAAUAAAAGAUUCGAGGUUUGAGAUAAUGAUUAAAGGGAACUGCCGGGGGCGUUUGUAUUACGGCGCUAGAGGUGAAAUUCUUGGACCGUCGUAAGACAAACUACUGCGAAAGCAUUCGCCAAGAAUGUUUUCAUUAAUCAAGAACGAAAGUUAGAGUUUAGAAGGAGAUCAGAUACCUCCCUAUUUCUAACCGUAAACUAUGCUAACCAGUUGUCCGUCGGAAGUCAUUUCCGAGACUGGACGAGCGACCCUCAGGGAAACCAGAGUUUCUGAGUUCCGGGGGAAGUAUGGUUGCAAAGCUGAAACUUAAAGGAAUUGACGGAAGGGCACCACCAGGAGUGGAGCCUGCGGCUUAAUUUGACUCAACACGGGAAAACUCACCAGGCCCAGAAACAUUUAGGAUUGACAGAUUGAAAGCUCUUUCAUGAUUAUGAGGAUGGUGGUGCAUGGCCGUUCUUAGUUGGUGGAGCGAUCUGUCUGGUUAAUUCCGAUAACGAACGAGAUUCUCGUUUACUAAAUAGAAGGUAGAUCUGAUCCCGGAGGUCCUUUUUCUUUUUCUCUUUUUUCCUCGGGUAAGUGCGUUCUCUUCAUGCCGUUGGUGUUUUGUUUCUUUUUUCUGCGUUUACUGAGUUCUGGCGUUUCUGCACUUGUGUGGUUAUGUUUGGAAGGAAGUGGCGUGGAUGGGGGAUGAGACUCGGCGAAACAGGAGGAAUGAGCUCUGGGGUUAGGAGGAUGGAGGAGGGGCUCUUAUGACGGGUAGUCUACACCCGUUUCUUCUUAGAAAAAUCAAUGGUGCUCUAAUCAGUUGACAGGAAGAGCAAUAACAGGUCUGUGAUGCCCUUAGAUGUUCUGGGCCGCACGCGCGCUACAAUGCACGGUGCAGCACGUCCCCCUUCUCCAUAAUGGAGUGGGUAACCGGCUCAAAUCCGGGCCUACUUGGGAUUGGGGCUUGCAAAUAUUUCCCAUGAACGAGGAAUUCCCAGUAAGCGUUGGCUCAUUUAAGUCGCGCUGAUUACGUCCCUGCCCUUUGUACACACCGCCCGUCGCUACUACCGAUUGAAUGAUUCAGUGAGAACACUGGACUGUCGUUCUAAUAGUAUUUUUACUAAUACCUAUUUAAAGGACUGACGGAAAGAUGUUCAAACUUGAUCAUUUAGA